Molecule: ribosomal RNA, 3103 nt
Filed under: Salmonella enterica subsp. enterica serovar Weltevreden
Lineage: Bacteria; Pseudomonadati; Pseudomonadota; Gammaproteobacteria; Enterobacterales; Enterobacteriaceae
Description: bacterial LSU rRNA
Rfam family: Bacterial large subunit ribosomal RNA
Source: RNAcentral
UUAAGCGACUAAGCGUACACGGUGGAUGCCCUGGCAGUCAGAGGCGAUGAAGGGCGUGCUAAUCUGCGAUAAGCGCCGGUAAGGUGAUAUGAACCGUUAUAACCGGCGAUACCCGAAUGGGGAAACCCAGUGUGACUCGUCACACUAUCAUUAACUGAAUCCAUAGGUUAAUGAGGCGAACCGGGGGAACUGAAACAUCUAAGUACCCCGAGGAAAAGAAAUCAACCGAGAUUCCCCCAGUAGCGGCGAGCGAACGGGGAGGAGCCCAGAGCCUGAAUCAGCAUGUGUGUUAGUGGAAGCGUCUGGAAAGGCGCGCGAUACAGGGUGACAGCCCCGUACACAAAAGCGCAUGUGCUGUGAGCUCGAUGAGUAGGGCGGGACACGUGGUAUCCUGUCUGAAUAUGGGGGGACCAUCCUCCAAGGCUAAAUACUCCUGACUGACCGAUAGUGAACCAGUACCGUGAGGGAAAGGCGAAAAGAACCCCGGCGAGGGGAGUGAAAAAGAACCUGAAACCGUGUACGUACAAGCAGUGGGAGCCCCACCACCAAAGCGUUUCGCUUUGUGUGGUGCACAAAGAAGCGUAACGACAGCACUGAAUGACGGUUAACGGAGCGCAAGCGACGUUCAACAUACAAAGUCAAGCAGUGGAGCGCUUUGGGGUGGGGUGACUGCGUACCUUUUGUAUAAUGGGUCAGCGACUUAUAUUCUGUAGCAAGGUUAACCGAAUAGGGGAGCCGGAGGGAAACCGAGUCUUAACCGGGCGUUAAGUUGCAGGGUAUAGACCCGAAACCCGGUGAUCUAGCCAUGGGCAGGUUGAAGGUUGGGUAACACUAACUGGAGGACCGAACCGACUAAUGUUGAAAAAUUAGCGGAUGACCUGUGGCUGGGGGUGAAAGGCCAAUCAAACCGGGAGAUAGCUGGUUCUCCCCGAAAGCUAUUUAGGUAGCGCCUCGUGAAUUCAUCUCCGGGGGUAGAGCACUGUUUCGGCUAGGGGGCCAUCCCGGCUUACCAACCCGAUGCAAACUGCGAAUACCGGAGAAUGUUAUCACGGGAGACACACGGCGGGUGCUAACGUCCGUCGUGAAGAGGGAAACAACCCAGACCGCCAGCUAAGGUCCCAAAGUCAUGGUUAAGUGGGAAACGAUGUGGGAAGGCCCAGACAGCCAGGAUGUUGGCUUAGAAGCAGCCAUCAUUUAAAGAAAGCGUAAUAGCUCACUGGUCGAGUCGGCCUGCGCGGAAGAUGUAACGGGGCUAAACCAUGCACCGAAGCUGCGGCAGCGAACGUAUCACCCAAGACAACUUUACGGAGUUGACGAUUGACGGAGCGAAGCGACGUCAAAGCGUUCAUUAAAGUCGAGUUGGCUUAGGGAUACGUUCGUUGGGUAGGGGAGCGUUCUGUAAGCCUGCGAAGGUGGCCUGUGAGGGUUGCUGGAGGUAUCAGAAGUGCGAAUGCUGACAUAAGUAACGAUAAAGCGGGUGAAAAGCCCGCUCGCCGGAAGACCAAGGGUUCCUGUCCAACGUUAAUCGGGGCAGGGUGAGUCGACCCCUAAGGCGAGGCCGAAAGGCGUAGUCGAUGGGAAACGGGUUAAUAUUCCCGUACUUGGUGUUACUGCGAAGGGGGGACGGAGAAGGCUAUGUUGGCCGGGCGACGGUUGUCCCGGUUUAAGCGUGUAGGUGUGUGUUCCAGGUAAAUCCGGUUCACUUUAACACUGAGGCGUGAUGACGAGGCACUACGGUGCUGAAGCAACAAAUGCCCUGCUUCCAGGAAAAGCCUCUAAGCAUCAGGUAACAUCAAAUCGUACCCCAAACCGACACAGGUGGUCAGGUAGAGAAUACCAAGGCGCUUGAGAGAACUCGGGUGAAGGAACUAGGCAAAAUGGUGCCGUAACUUCGGGAGAAGGCACGCUGACACGUAGGUGAAGUGAUUUACUCAUGGAGCUGAAGUCAGUCGAAGAUACCAGCUGGCUGCAACUGUUUAUUAAAAACACAGCACUGUGCAAACACGAAAGUGGACGUAUACGGUGUGACGCCUGCCCGGUGCCGGAAGGUUAAUUGAUGGGGUCAGCGCAAGCGAAGCUCCUGAUCGAAGCCCCGGUAAACGGCGGCCGUAACUAUAACGGUCCUAAGGUAGCGAAAUUCCUUGUCGGGUAAGUUCCGACCUGCACGAAUGGCGUAAUGAUGGCCAGGCUGUCUCCACCCGAGACUCAGUGAAAUUGAACUCGCUGUGAAGAUGCAGUGUACCCGCGGCAAGACGGAAAGACCCCGUGAACCUUUACUAUAGCUUGACACUGAACAUUGAGCCUUGAUGUGUAGGAUAGGUGGGAGGCUUUGAAGUGUGGACGCCAGUCUGCAUGGAGCCGACCUUGAAAUACCACCCUUUAAUGUUUGAUGUUCUAACGUGGACCCGUUACCCGGGUUGCGGACAGUGUCUGGUGGGUAGUUUGACUGGGGCGGUCUCCUCCUAAAGAGUAACGGAGGAGCACGAAGGUUGGCUAAUCCUGGUCGGACAUCAGGAGGUUAGUGCAAUGGCAUAAGCCAGCUUGACUGCGAGCGUGACGGCGCGAGCAGGUGCGAAAGCAGGUCAUAGUGAUCCGGUGGUUCUGAAUGGAAGGGCCAUCGCUCAACGGAUAAAAGGUACUCCGGGGAUAACAGGCUGAUACCGCCCAAGAGUUCAUAUCGACGGCGGUGUUUGGCACCUCGAUGUCGGCUCAUCACAUCCUGGGGCUGAAGUAGGUCCCAAGGGUAUGGCUGUUCGCCAUUUAAAGUGGUACGCGAGCUGGGUUUAGAACGUCGUGAGACAGUUCGGUCCCUAUCUGCCGUGGGCGCUGGAGAACUGAGGGGGGCUGCUCCUAGUACGAGAGGACCGGAGUGGACGCAUCACUGGUGUUCGGGUUGUCAUGCCAAUGGCACUGCCCGGUAGCUAAAUGCGGAAGAGAUAAGUGCUGAAAGCAUCUAAGCACGAAACUUGCCCCGAGAUGAGUUCUCCCUGAGACUUAGAGUCUCCUGAAGGAACGUUGAAGACGACGACGUUGAUAGGCCGGGUGUGUAAGCGCAGCGAUGCGUUGAGCUAACCGGUACUAAUGAACCGUGAGGCUUAACCUU